AUAAAUGUAAAUAUACAUUGAACGUCAUGCCAUCACAUACUUUUGAAAUAAGUUAAAACCUUCUUUUUUUUUUUUCCACUGUGAACUGAUAUCAUAUUAAACAGAAGUUGAUACAAAAACAAAAAAGCCCAGACAAGAAGGCAUAAAAACCCAACAUCAUGCACCUAAAGAUUUAAGGCCCAUCAACAGCCCAAAACCUAAACACAUCAGAAGAAGAGUCGACAACAACGUGUUAACCGUACGAAGAGGAAAGCACGUGUUGGGACAGCCUUCACCAUCUUCACCGACUAAGAUUCGUCGCCGGAAACCUACCGGAGAUAGAAUCACGAUCACAAGCCCUCCAAUUUCAGGGCAUACACCGAUGGAGAGCCUCAAUCGACCAGAUUCGAGAUCUCAUCCAUCCCCACUCCACACACACACACACAAAGGUUUACCCAGAUCAGAAUCAUCACCCAGCGGAGAGCUUCAUCGAGCUAUUCGAGAGAUUGUCCGCCUCACCACAACACCAAUCACACACCAAACAUACUCUUCCCGGAUUCUCAUGAACACCGAAGAAACACACCUCCAACGACUGUAUUGGACGUUUUGGGCUUCAUCAGCUACAACACAUCCCCUGUUUGGAGAGCAUCAAUCGAUUAAACACCGAGAUCUCAUCCAAACCCAUAACCGUGGACCAAAGCCGAAUAAUUUCGCAUAGAAGAUCGCAAAAAAACUGGAGUCAAAGCCAGCUACACGGCGUCAAAGAGACCACCGUGCACCAGAUUGAAA
This 768-nucleotide long non-coding RNA is filed under the name Brassica rapa (field mustard). Its description in RNAcentral is "long non-coding RNA (BRAP_LNC006657)". Lineage: Eukaryota; Viridiplantae; Streptophyta; Magnoliopsida; Brassicales; Brassicaceae. The record is from RNAcentral.